GUGCUCAUUUCAGUAGCACAUAUACUAAAAUUGGACUAAUAUAAAGGAGAUUUGCAGGGCCUCUGAACAAGGAUGACACACAAAUUCGUGAGGAAUUCCAUAUUUUU
Molecule: small nuclear RNA, 107 nt
Filed under: Marmota marmota marmota (Alpine marmot)
Lineage: Eukaryota; Metazoa; Chordata; Mammalia; Rodentia; Sciuridae
Source: RNAcentral